This 371-nucleotide ribosomal RNA is filed under the name bacterium Fuku2-ISO-1. RNAcentral's name for it is "bacterial SSU rRNA". It matches the Rfam family "Bacterial small subunit ribosomal RNA", at positions 430 to 794 of the family's 1533-position model. The record is from RNAcentral.
GCACUUUAGGUUGGGAAGAAAAAAUUCGGGCGAAUAUCCCGAGUCUUGACGGUACCGACAGAAUAAGCACCGGCUAACUCUGUGCCAGCAGCCGCGGUAAUACAGAGGGUGCUAGCGUUAAUCGGAUUUACUGGGCGUAAAGCGUGCGUAGGCGGUUUGUUAAGUCGGAUGUGAAAGCCCCGGGCUCAACCUGGGAAUUGCAUUCGAUACUGGCAGACUAGAGAACGGUAGAGGGAGGCGGAACUCCAGGUGUAGCGGUGAAAUGCGUAGAUAUCUGGAAGAACACCGAUGGCGAAGGCAACCUCCUGGGCCUGUUCUGACGCUGAGGCACGAAAGCGUGGGUAGCAAACAGGAUUAGAUACCCUGGUAGU